UACGGAGGGGGCAAGCGUUGUUCGGAAUUACUGGGCGUAAAGGGCUCGUAGGCGGCCAACUAAGUCAGACGUGAAAUCCCCAGGCUCAACCUGGGAACUGCGUCGGAUACUGGAUGGCUUGAAUUCGGGAGAGGGAUGCAGAAUUCCAGGUGUAGCGGUGAAAUGCGUAGAUAUCUGGAGGAAUACCGGUGGCGAAGGCGGCAUCCUGGACCGACAUUGACGCUGAGGAGCGAAAGCUAGGGGAGCAAACGGG
RNAcentral lists this ribosomal RNA (253 nucleotides) under uncultured bacterium. RNAcentral's name for it is "partial 16S ribosomal RNA". It matches the Rfam family "Bacterial small subunit ribosomal RNA", at positions 524 to 776 of the family's 1533-position model. The record is from RNAcentral.